Molecule: ribosomal RNA, 466 nt
Filed under: uncultured bacterium
Lineage: Bacteria
Description: partial 16S ribosomal RNA
Rfam family: Bacterial small subunit ribosomal RNA
Source: RNAcentral
GACGAACGCUGGCGGCGCGCCUAACACAUGCAAGUCGAACGAGCGAGAGAGAGAUUGCUUUCUUGAGCGAGUGGCGAACGGGUGAGUAACGCGUGAGGAACCUGCCUCAAAGAGGGGGACACCAGUUGGAAACGACUGCUAAUACCGCAUAUGCCCACGGUGCCGCAUGGCACAGAGGGAAAAGGAGCAAUCCGCUUUGAGAUGGCCUCGCGUCCGAUUAGCUAGUUGGUGAGGUAACGGCCCACCAAGGCGACGAUCGGUAGCCGGACUGAGAGGUUGAACGGCAACAUUGGGACUGAGACACGGACCAGACUCCUACGGGAGGCAGCAGGUGGGAAUAAUGCACAAUGGGGGAGACACUGAUGUAGCGACGCCGCGUGGAGGAAGAAGGUCUUCGGAUUGUAAACGCCUGUUGUUGGGGAAGAUAAUGACGGUACCCAACAAGGAAGUGACGGCUAACUACGUG